CAGUCACCUUCUGGUGCAUGUCCAGCCUCAAGAGUGGGAAAGUAUGCGCGACUGGAGGAGGUACUGUGGAGGUGGUUGCGCAAGAACGUCUGUAAAUGAGAGCAUUUGCGGAGCAAACAUCAAUGUGCCUAACACGAUGCUGUGCGUGCAAACCAAUUCACAUUCUCAUUGCCUCUAUCCCCCUCAGUGUAUCCAUAUAUAUGCCUAGAACGAGAAAGCAGGACCAAAGAGACAGUCCAAAGAAACACUAAUUUGCACUUGACCCAUCUGAUGGCAGGUGGGCCGCCUGCAACGCAUUCUGAUGCAUGUCAAUCUGGAUACCUCGUGCAUUAUGUACUGCACUGUAUCUGUUUAUCACAUAGAAUGUGACGCCUUCGGUGAAGGAGUAAUGAACUCUGCAGAGAGGUCGAGAACUGGGUGAAGUUUUGGGGUGUCGCUUCGGUGGAGGCAAAGCAAGGACUGACCUUGAAAGUAGUGGGUUCGGCGAUUUUAAUGUACGCAGAGCCAAGGGGCUUGGAACCGAGACCGAACCGCUGUUGAAGGCCAUUGCUAUCUGUGCCUUGGAUUUUACAGUCCUGGCCGUAACACGACAUGCAACGAAUGACAUUGAGGACACGACGCAAGUCUUCUUUCUUCCUGUGGCCGCCUAAAAGCUCCUGCGGAAAUGAGUCAGCUUCCAAAACCUUGUCGUACGAAAUUGUGAUUGGAACAAAAGUGACGUUCGGCUGUUCGAAGUCGAAGUACAGGUCCAGCACUGACCGGAGAAUACCAUUUUGUGGGCGAGAGAGCAAGCCUGUACAAAAGGAGAGGAAUAGAGCCUACCGGAAAAGAGAUGUCUUUCGGAUUCCUCACCGCCGGGAGCCGGGAGUGUGAUUUACAUCUAUGGAAAAGCCUAAAUGAACGGUGUCUGUCACCUAAAAACUGCAUACCGCGUUUGCCGAAAGCCGU
Molecule: long non-coding RNA, 948 nt
Filed under: Toxoplasma gondii VEG
Lineage: Eukaryota; Apicomplexa; Conoidasida; Eucoccidiorida; Sarcocystidae
Source: RNAcentral